RNA transcript from Chroicocephalus ridibundus (black-headed gull), 6441 nucleotides. It is a transcript of the gene named ST6 N-acetylgalactosaminide alpha-2,6-sialyltransferase 2, with no coding region annotated. NCBI's taxonomy places the organism in Eukaryota, Metazoa, Chordata, Aves, Charadriiformes, Laridae. The record is from RefSeq and is a predicted model, not a curated record. The transcript has 13 exons.
AAAAGGAGGGGGGAAAAAAAAAAAAAAGCGGAUUUCCCUGCUGGUUUGAGUAAAUGUUUAAUCCCCAGCUCGGAGAAAAAGCAGCUCAAAAGUGCUUUUUUUCUCAGCAAGUCUGAACCAGUCAGCCUGGUGCCUCCUCCCUCCGGCUCACACCCUCCCUCCCACCGCUCCAGAGGAAUAUCCCAGCCUGCUCCAAGGUGCAGCUGGGCACCCAGGGCAGGAGGGAGCCAGACCGGAGUGGCGUUGGCACCCACCAAGCUGGGAGAGGAGAAGGGCCGGGAAGUUUUCUGGACGGCGGCGGGACGGCAGCGUGCCCAGUGCAGGCAGCGCGGGCUCCCACGCUCCCGCUUGCCUGUGCCCCUCCAGCGCUGGAAGCGACUGGGAUGGGGUCCCCUCACUGGAAACGCCUCUGCUUUUUGCUCCUGGUGGGUUUAACGUCUUCCCUGCUCCUCUACAGUCACUACUACGCUACGGUGGAGUCACCCGCCAGCCAGAGGAUCAUAGCCAGCCUGCUGCAGCCGGAGCCGCUGGUCCUGGCUCCGCCGGGGACAUCGCGCCGAGCCGGCAGCCGCAGAUGGAACCUUGAAGGCGGCUUAGAGAGUGGGAAGUCCUUCAAGCCUUCUCCUGAGCUGGAGGAGCCCAAGCCCAGCAGAAAGCAGCCAAGGCCAUGCCCCCGCUCGGUGAUGGCCAGAGCAAAGGCAGACCCCAAGUUUGGGGAGAUCUUCCGCUUCGACACCCCCGUGCUGAUGUGGGACCAGCACUUCACCCCGGAGACCUGGGACAGGCUGAGGACACGACACGUCCCCUACGGCUGGCAAGGCUUGUCCCACACAGUGGUGGGCAGCACCCUCCGGCUCCUCAACGCCUCUGCCAACAGGCGCCUCUUCGACAGGGACGCCUUCCCCGGGGGCUGUGUCCGCUGCGCCGUGGUAGGCAACGGCGGCAUCCUCAACGGCUCGCGGCAGGGCAAGGCCAUCGAUGCGCACGAUCUGGUCUUCAGGCUCAACGGUGCCGUGAUCAAAGGCUUCGAGGAGGAUGUGGGGACCAAGAUCUCCUUCUAUGGCUUCACGGUGAACACCAUGAAGAACUCCCUCAUGGCCUACGAGGAGUACGGCUUCACCCACAUACCCCAGGCCAAGGACCUGAGGUACAUCUUCAUCCCCUCGGACAUCCGCGACUACAUGAUGCUGAAGUCGGCCAUCCAGGGCAGCCCAGUCCCCGAGGGCUCGGACAAGGGGGACAAGCCACAGAAGUAUUUUGGACCGGAGGCAUCUGCAGAGAAGUUCAAGCUGCUGCAUCCUGAUUUCUUGCAGUACCUGACAGCGAGGUUCCUGCGGUCGGAGCUCCUGAACACGCAGUACGGCUCGCUCUACAUGCCCAGCACCGGCGCACUCAUGCUCCUCACCGCGCUCCACACCUGCGACCAGGUCAGUGCCUAUGGGUUCAUCACCGCCAACUACGAGCAGUUCUCGGACCACUACUAUGAGCUGGAGAAGAAGCCGCUGGUGUUUUAUGCCAACCAUGACAUGAUGCUGGAGGCGGCGCUGUGGAGGGGGCUGCACCGAGCAGGGAUCAUGACCCUCUACCAGCGGUGAGGCUGGGUGGUCGCCUACGGGGGCAAGUCCAAGGACUCCUGUGGCUCUUUCUCCUCUUUCCUGAAGGCCACCUUCUCCCUGGCGAGGGCUCUCCCCAGCUGGCCAGCCAGCCCAAGGAGUGGACCCUCCACACUGCAGCAGUGGUGUGAUGGUCAGGGGCAAGGUGAAGCUGGUGGAGAAAUGUUGCAUUUCCUCAGGAAUCUCCAGCAACGUUUCAUGGCUCAAUGUGAUUGAAUGUGGCCUUUGAGGCGCCAAGAAGCACCACAACACGUGGCUGUGACCUCCCAGCCCCAUGAACAUGGCUGGGAAGCACAGAAGGGGCUGGAAGAAGAUGCUGGAGAUGUGUAUGUGUGGCAGCCUCUGGCUGGAAGAACGCCCUUCACCUUGCCAUCGUGCCCCCGUUCAAAUGCUUGUCACCAUGGUGGGACAACAGGCAUGAUGAAUCCUUACACUGGAGACUAGAUCAUCCAGCUAACGGGAAGGUUGGAGAACACCUCCCUCCUGGCCUGCAGAAAGCCCCAACUCCAGCCAGGUUUAUGUGUGCCACUUUCUAGAAGGACUUGGUUGCCUCCAUGAUCAAUGGGAAAGCCAGCGGCUUGGCUGCCCUCUCCUGUGACAGGCGCACAGCAUGCCCUGUCAUUUUCCUCUUUCUAGGUCAUGGUGUUUUCAAACAAGGAUCUUAAACAGCUAAGAGCAGCGGUACUGCAGCUCAGCUGGGACAUCAGAAACGUGGCUGGUUUUGAGCAGCCUGGAGAUGAGAGCUGGCCUACAGCCCACCCGGGUGGUACUGGGUUUGUUGGGUUUUUCUCGCACAGGGACCGUGUGGUGCCCUCCAAGUGCUUUGACAAGGCAGCCCCAUGCCAGGUGGGUCAGGGAACCUGCUAGCUCGUUGGGUCAGACUAAGUGACUGUCACUUUCCUCCCAAACAACCUGAGGGAGGUGAAGUUCUUGAAGCCUUCAGCCACCCCGGAUAAGCCAGCGCUGCCAAGGAAGACCCGCUGGGGAGGCCACUCCAGCUGGUGGUGGCCGGAGGGUUGACACGGCACCGCAGUGGCAGCAGUGCCAUGCGAGACAGUUUCCCGCUUUGUGUAAUUACAUAAAUGUUGAAUGAGCAUUUUCUUACAUGCCUAUUUCUGUUGUUUUGGCAAACGGGGUGGGGUGAGGCCCCUACCUCCCCCAGCAGAGGGGCUGUAGCGUGUAGCAGAGCGAGCCCCCGACUGGAGAACAGCCCGAGGCGGGGAUGGGAGCCGGCUUAAAGGGUGGAGAUGGGCUGGCAGGGAAGCCUGGUGCCCAGCACCGUGACGGAUCUGUGGGAGCAGCUCCGAGCACAGCCGUCUUCCACUUGGGAUGCGGUUGUGCUGUACCGUCAGCUGGGGAGGAGCGAUUUACUGCAGCGAUGGCAAGAGAGAGCCUGGCCGUGAGCCAGGGAACCUCCAGCCCCCCUCCAGCUCGCAGCAGGCUGCUCCCAGCCAGUUCAAAUGAGCAUUACCGAGGCUUAGUCUCUAAGCCUGUUUCAGAUGUAAUCUCCGGCUUGGAGCCCAUCUUAUGUUCCCAGGUCUCAAAUUAACCUUUGUUUGCAUCAGGGCCACCUUACAAUGGUACCAAGGCAGCCUGUUAGGCCUGUUUUUUAUUCACAAGCACUCAGCAAAACGUCUUUCAUGACAAGAACGAGCCUGAUCCUCACAUCACCUGACCAAGACAGCACUAAAACCUCCUCAAACCAGCUCUGGCCGAACCUCGGCACAGCCCACGCAGGUGACUCUGGACGUGGCCAUCAGCAGCACCUUGAUGCGCAGACGCAAAACAAACAGGUCUGAAAAAGGAGCGCCGUCAUGGUGCAGCAUCCUGCCAGGAAUCCCGUCCAGCUCGUGGGCAGAGCUGUUUGUGCACACGAGGAACUCAGGACGCACACCCUCCUUUCCCAUUUCAAAAAGGGAGGUUUUUCUCGCCAAGGGUGUAGCCCAGCCCUGGAGUUAAACAUACUCCAUUUUAAGCGCUCACCAGACAAAGAACCUGAUGGCUUUCUACUGCCUCUCCCUUCCAGCGUCCAAGCAGACCACAAGAAUCAUUUCUGUCACGUCCUGGAUUAGCUGGUUUUAUUCAUCCAGAGGAUCCAGCUGCCAACACGCUUUGCAAGGCUCCAAAUUCAUAAUCGCUUCCCUAACAUCUUCCUCCAAGAGGCUGCAGUUUGGCACAGGCACCACCUUUGAUGUCUGAGUUUGGCGACCACCCCGUGCCUUAGGAGCCCAGUUCAUGGCCAGGGCAUCUGCGUGGCUCAGAUGGUGCUUGCGACGGUGGACUUUGCUUGUGUUGUUAUAACAGAACGGCCUGGUCUAGCCAAGAAACGGAAGGAGAAGCUGCAUUCUGGUCUUGCUGAGACUGGCUUGGUAUGUAAACCUGGCCUGAAAGCUUGGAUCACAAAUGAACUCUUGCUUUUUCAAGGAUUAGACUUUUCUGCCAUCUUCAAUUUACAAGCUAAAGGGCUGUCGUGACUUGCCUGCAGUCAGCAGCUCCAGUCAUUCUGCAGCAUUCAUGGCAAUCUCCUGGGAUUUUUAAUGACCAAGGAUGUGAUGUGUGUUGCAAUGUGAACUUCACGUUACCUUCACAGAAAACCUAAAUGCAUCUUAACUGGGGUUAACCUGGUGUCACUGCCUUAGGCUUUAGCGGAUCAGUGUUACAUCUGUCCUAACUGUGAACUUUACAUGCUUCAUGCCUAAAAAUCUUCACGGUCGGAAAAAGCGCCCCUACUUGAGUGAACCACUGAGAUGGUGUGAGUUAUUGGCUGGUACUGCUACUGACUGAGCCUCUGCCAGCACAUCCCACUAAAAUGAUGCACUGAGAAGGUGAAGCUGCACCUCCACCAGGCUCAUUGCUGUCAGACUGGGUGCUGAGCACUACCUGCAAUGGGUACUUUCGAGAUUAACCUUGGUCUCAGUCAAGGUGAGCAGGAAAAAGCAUAUUGCCUUGAUGCUGUCUGAAGGCUGCCUUCUGCAUCGUGACUGAAGGUGGAACCUGGUUAUCAGCAAAAACAGGUGUCAGCUGGUUUAAGCCCUCCAAAAACUUGGUUACCAAUAUUUCUGACCUUAUUCUAUCUGUCACAUUCAAGAUGUGAGCAAACACAGAGCCAGUGUUGUUCCUUCAGCUGGAAGGGACAAGAAACCAUGUGCUCCGAGGCUCCUUGUUUGUCUCAGCUGGUCCCAGGCCUCCAGAAAGCCUUUCCUAAUUCUCUUCUGGCUGUCUCUAACCACCUCCCUGUUCCUGAGUAAUUCUGCUGCUUCCGAAGCAUUGCUGGCGCUCUGCCUGACCGCAUCAGCUACCUGAGCUGCUCUGCUCCUUACUCCUCCUGGUAACCAGAGACUAUGUACAUCGAUCUUUAGCCUCCUGCUGAAGCACAGCAAUCUGAGAAGAAACCCCUGGGCACGGCAGAGGGACUGUUGCAGGCUCUGUCCUGCACUUGGUAAAUACCUGGGGGAGACAUUAACCUUUGUGGGGAAAGGGGUUAUGUACAUCUGUCAGCUCUGCUAUUCAAGCACACGGCAAUCCCAUGGGCAUGGACACCUCCACCUGAAAUCCGAGAGCCAGCUCAGCCCAUGCAACCCCCACGUGCGUCCCUGCUCGCCAGUCUGACUCUGAUAGCACCAGGUUUCUCACAGCUCUUGGGGACAAACCUCGCUUAGCCCUGACAAGCCUCAAAAGCUCUUUCACAGCAAGCCAUGUGUGAACCCAGCGCGUCACAUAUCGGCACCAUCUACCUGACUUUAUCCUGCCCGUUUACAAUAGGCACAACAGGCCUGGACAGGUUGGGGACCAGGUGUGGGACAGAGGUCAUCUGCAUCCUAGGCUGAAACGAGUCCAGGAACCUCCUCAAGCUGCCGAAGGAGCCCUGCGGAGACCUGAGAGGUGGGUAAAACCCAUCCCCACCUCCAGAUACCCAGCUGGCUUUUCCACUUCUGAAGCACAGCUCCUUUUCAGUGCUAGAAUUUGGGGUCACUUUCAAUAACUCGCUCAAAAAUCAGAAGAAAAAGCUGGAGACGCUCUCUGAGUCAUUGGCAUGUUGUUACCAAGGACACUAAGGUUCCUGAUUUUGAAGAAGAGAUUAAUUACAUUCUACAAAUAGACUUUUUAUCUGCAUUGAAGAGCAGCAAGAGCGAGUUCUUUUAGCGUAGCUCAUUAUGUAUCAGCAGGUAGUAUUGUGACAGAUGUAGGAAUCCAGUCGUAUUGUCACUUGGGUUUAAUCAUCAGAAAGCUGUCUUCCCCGGGUCAGCUUCUAGUGAGGAUUUGUAAUAUUUACAUAGCACUUGGGGCUGGCUUCUUUAUUGCUGGAGUCUGUAUUCACUCGUCAGUCUCUCAUUAUGCAUGUGCCAGUAUUAAUUGCAUUUAGAAAUGAGAUUCUAAAGGAGAAGUGAGAGCUAUUUAGACCUCCAUUCAGCUUGAAAGACAGCAGCCUUCUGUGUGACAGCUCUCGAGAUGUUCUUGUGCUCGGCUUUCUCUCCAGCUGAAAAGCAGGUGUUGGAGAGAGUUGGUGUCGGAGCCACUGUAUCAGCACUGCCUUUUGUGCAUGCCCAGACAUUUAUAUAACCGACAGUAUAAUGACUCCGCAGAAGUGGCACAGCAUUGACCCUUCUGGUACUGGAUUCAAACCCAGCAAGGUAGAGAGCGGAUCUGCUCAGUUGCUAUACAGACAUAAGGGGGGAAAGCGAUGCAAAGCCUUGUCUUCCAUGGAAAGAGGGGGGGUUAUUUUCUUGCUGGUGGGUUGGGGGGUUAUUUAUCGGCUCGGCUGUGCCUGCAGCACUUUGGAGCUGUGUUUGUGGCCUUGCUAAUGUAUUUAAAGUCGUAGAGAAAUUCA